This is a non-coding RNA of Arachis ipaensis, 542 nucleotides long. NCBI's taxonomy places the organism in Eukaryota, Viridiplantae, Streptophyta, Magnoliopsida, Fabales, Fabaceae. The record is from RefSeq and is a predicted model, not a curated record.
UGUUACAGAUGGUAUCAGAGCCAGAAUCCGGAUCGAUGUGCCAGCGAAGGGGAGCGGAUUGUAAGGCCCACAUCGGUUGGGGAGGGGAACGAAACAUGCCUUAUAAGGAUGUGGAUACCUCUUCCUAGCAUGAUGCAUUUGACGAGUGAGUGUGUGGGAUUUCGGCUAGCAUCUAUAUCGUCAAAAGCAAAACCGUGAGGUCUUGUGUGUGAAGAAGAGAAAAAGAAUUGUUGUUGCCAGAUUUACUUGUUGCUGUUGCUGAAGGAGAGAAGAAGACUUGGGAUUUUUUGGGUGGGAGAGGGAAAAGGGUGGAAGAAGUGAUAUCAAGAUCCAAGGCUAGUGAGUGUGGCAGAGGAAGGGGUGGAAGAAGUGAGAGGCGUUAAGGGGUCAAAAAUGGAGUUGCCGGUGGCGGAGGAGUAGAGGAGAGAGAGCGCGAGGGGAGGGCGGAGGAGGGUGGCGGCGUUGAAGUUGAACAAGAAGAGGAAGAAGCUGGGUUUUCCCACUGGGAAGAGACAUCGGAGGUGGGGGUGCGGGUGCGGGUU